GGAAACGACUGCUAAUACCCCAUAUGCCGAGAGGUGAAACAUUUUAUGGCCUGAGGAGGAGCUCGCGUCUGAUUAGCUAGUUGGUGGGGUAACGGCCUACCAAGGCGACGAUCAGUAGCUGGUCUGAGAGGAUGAUCAGCCACACUGGGACUGAGACACGGCCCAGACUCCUACGGGAGGCAGCAGUGGGGAAUUUUCCGCAAUGGGCGAAAGCCUGACGGAGCAAGACCGCGUGAGGGAGGAAGGUCUGUGGAUUGUAAACCUCUUUUCUCAGGGAAGAAGAACUGACGGUACCUGAGGAAUCAGCAUCGGCUAACUCCGUGCCAGCAGCCGCGGUAAUACGGAGGAUGCAAGCGUUAUCCGGAAUUAUUGGGCGUAAAGCGUCCGUAGGUGGCUAAGCAAGUCUGCUGUUAAAGAGCGGAGCUAAACUCCGUAAAGGCGGUGGAAACUGCAUAGCUAGAGUGUGGUAGGGGUAGAGGGAAUUCCCAGUGUAGCGGUGAAAUGCGUAGAUAUUGGGAAGAACACCGGUGGCGAAGGCGCUCUACUGGGCCACAACUGACACUGAUGGACGAAAGCUAGGGGAGC
RNAcentral lists this ribosomal RNA (585 nucleotides) under cyanobacterium GSP215-1. RNAcentral describes it as "bacterial SSU rRNA". It matches the Rfam family "Bacterial small subunit ribosomal RNA", at positions 152 to 769 of the family's 1533-position model. Lineage: Bacteria; Bacillati; Cyanobacteriota. The record is from RNAcentral.